Long non-coding RNA from Passer domesticus (house sparrow), 4267 nucleotides. RefSeq lists it as uncharacterized. The record is from RefSeq and is a predicted model, not a curated record. Lineage: Eukaryota; Metazoa; Chordata; Aves; Passeriformes; Passeridae. The transcript is spliced from 5 exons.
ACAGCACAAAUAAUUUCACCUCCUACUAAACUGCUGCCGACUCACUACAUUCUCAAUGCAACCCCACCAUUAGCUUCUGGUGUUUCACAAAACUAGGAAAACAAGGCAAACAAGUGCUAGACUGGAUCAUGUAUGAAGGUCAUGCAGUUCAGGGGCCCCACUCCCUCUGUGAUGCGCUCAAGAAGCUGCAGAAGACAAUGUUCCAUCCUGCCAAUUCAGAACCCAGCAGCAGGGGAAGUUCCUUGAAGCAGUCAGAUAUCAGGGAGCAGACAACCUCAAGCAUGAAGGCUGAGGUCACUCACCUAAUAUCAGGAGGCAACAAAACCACAACUACUCCACAAGUAAAGAUGAGCCAAAAGCUGAAGAUACCCACAAUGUCUUCUCAGAUCAGAGGCACAGCCCCAAGGAGCCUAAGAGCCCUGACCAGUGGUGAAGGGUGUCUGAGCCAAGCAUCCAGGUGAAAUCUGAUCUGCUGUUCUGAGGCCAAGAAAUGCCAGGAUGGCAGAUGGCAGGGAAGAAAGUUGAGCAGAGCUCUUUACCAGCAUCCAAGAUCCUGGGAGAAACCAAGCUGCUCCUGUAGGGGUCAAAUACCAGGGCGAGUAAGGAGAAAAAGCUGCCAAGCACUGCUUUUCAGCUGAAGUAAUCAUGACUAAAGCAGUAAGAUGGCCCUACCGGGCAUGGAUGACCAGCUCUGUCUCUUCAGGAGGCCAGUGGAAAUUUCCCUUCAGAGCUCUCCCUGUGGGAGAACUGCAACAUAUCUCGCCUAGUCUGCUGUGGAACAUUCUGGAUUAGUUAAUGCCUGCCUGAAGCCAGUAUCUGGAGCAGCCCACGGAGGAGAUACAGCAACUGAGCCAGUGUGGGUGGAUGAAGGAAUGGAAGAACAAGCAGGGAACAGUAACAGAAGUGGAUAUGGAGCAACUAUGGCCAGUGAUUGUAAGAGAAGGAAGGGUGAGAUCUAUCUUUGAUAAUGUUGUGAGAAACAGAGGAGCAGGACAAACUCACAUCCAUUCAAUGAGGUUUAUUCCCUGAAGACAUUUGCCAUGAAAUGCCACACCAAGCUAAUCUCCAGUGGAAUCCCAUGCUGCUUCUGCUUCUAGAGCUUCUCUUCAUACAAUGGCUUUGUGCAUCGUGUAUCUCCUCCCAGCCAGACUCAGUUUCGAAGCUUUCAGUGCACUUUGGGGGAAAAAAAAGCAGGAUGGACUUAACAAACAGCUGGUCAUCACAUUACUUGAAAGUGCAGAAGUGCUGUCCAGGGUUUCCAAGACAAAAUAGAAACAUUUUCAGUUUUGUCCUGGACUGGCAUUUUCUGAGUUACCUUAUUUCCACUGUCAGAUGAGUUUCAGAAGUCACCUCCACUUCCAGCUUUGCCAAAGUGAAGCCAGUUCCUGCUGCUGCAAAGGAGGGGCAUGGAGCAGUUCCUGUUGCCUGUGUCAUGUGGAAGCAUUGAGCUGGUCCCACUCCAUACCACUUGCCAGGGAAAACAGGUACUCAGGGCUGCUGGCCAGCAUUUGGAGAUAUGGAUAGGGCCCAGCCAAAGGGAUCCCGCAGCAGGAGAGGCCAUGCACAGAAGGAGAAGGCUGGUCUCAAAAUGGGGCAAUGCAGUGUGGAACAGAAUCCAAAGGCCCUCCAGAGAGGAGAGUUAGGAACAUUUCCACAUGAACCUGAAAGCGUAUUCAUUCAAGGUGGAGCUAGUGUUCUCCCAGCAGGACUUGUUAGCAUUAGCAGCAUUAAAUGCUGUGGAUUAAAGGCAAAGUCAUGCUCUACCUAGCUGCAAAGAACUUCCAGGCAGAUGAACAUUUAGUACCUCUACUACAUAAACACCUUUGUUAAAUAACAAGGUUUGAGUUAUGUUUCUUACAGCCUUGGUGAAAAUUGAUCACAGCUCAGUCUCUCAAAGAAUAUAAUUGCAGAAGCAAAAUGACUCUUAAAUGGCAGCCCCACAUAGGUCAUUGCCCCAUUUUUUGUUCCCAGUUACUGCAAUCAGCAAAAACAACAGAUUUCCAGCCUUAAUUUCUCCUCUGAAGAGCCCAGGGAUACUACUGGCAUCCAAGUGUCCUUUCCCAAGCAUGAGCUCUUUACCAGUCUCCCUCUGCGGCAGGUGACAUUAGCAGUUUUCCAUAUAUUUGUUCUGAACGGAACAGGGUUUUUUCACAAACUGUUCAUUGACAUAUAGCUCCCACAGCUAAUCCUAAAAUGCUUUCUAACACCAUAAACUAUACAUGUUUCAGAGAUUAGAGCUGAACAAAUAUUUCACUGUAAAUCAUUUAUUCAAUAAGUUUCAUAUGGCUUUCUUUUUUUCUAUUUGUGAAUUGUCUGCAAACUGCAAGCCAAAUUCCCAAAUUCAUUCAUUAGCCAAAAUAGCCCAUGAAUUUCUCCUGCAGAUAGUUUUUGCCCUGCAGGCCAUUCAUGGACAGUUUGUUAUGAAUAGUCUCAAUUCAAUGCUUGGUUGGUUUAGCUGCAGCAGUCAUGUUGACGUGGCUCUGUUCUGAAUGAAAAUUCACUUUCAAAUAUGAACCAAUAUUCACAGUGAAUUUCUCCCUCUGUUCCCUCAGCCCUUGGGGGAAUCAACCUAGUUAAUCUAACUGGGUGGGUUAAGCUGUCCAGAACAGCACAAUGGACUGGGGAAAGAACAGAGUGGUGUCCAGUUGAUUUUGUUCUGUAUAGAGGCAGGAUGGGAAUACACCAAUGGACAUUUGUGAAGGGUAAGAACUGCUGUCCUCACUCCUUCCUGAAGGAUGACCACCAGACACAAUUAGGAAAAUGGCUGCAGUGCAGCAUCUCCCUGUGUUCUACUGUUACCCAAGAAAGAUGGGUAAUUACUUCAUAGUUAGCAUUCUCAUAAUGAAGUAACAUGGGUGAGUUCUGAGCUGCAGCCAGACCUAGCUUCCUCUUGCCAAACAGCUUCCUGGUGGGUUAAUCCAUAGAGAAUGUUUCCAGGGCGUCCAUAAGCACCGUUCACCUCUCUAGAGAAGAAAGUAGAUGAAGUAGAACCCACUGCGUUGCAAACACUAGCUUGAAGAUUGAGUUCAUCAAGGCUGCAGGAUCCUCUUGUCCUGUUAUCUGUCUUCAGCAGAUGUUCUUCUCAUCAAAUCUCUGUGUGCAGGGCGCUGCCAGUGCUGUCAAAUCCAGCUGCUCCUCACCCAGGGGCUCCAAACAGCCACCCAGCUGCACCUGCUGGCCCUGCCUCCUCAUCAGCAGGGCAGCAAGACCCUGUUGUUACCUCAGGCAGACAACAGGGGCUAUGUCUGCCUCUCAGUACCACUGGUGCACCUCUAGGAAGAGAUUUCACAGGCUGAUGCAACAAUGCUAAUUGUAAGGCUUUUCUCAUUUCUAAGGUUUGAAUUGCUUCAUGUAGCUAUCUUCACAGUGGAGAAGAAAAUCCAGAGACCUUCUCAGUUGAGAUUUCAGAUAAAUACGUUCACAGCUAGGAGAGAAUAGCAAAUGUCCCCAGAUGGAGAAAAUGUUGACUUUAUGUCAAGAAACUCAAAGCCAGAAAAAAUAAAACAAGCUGAUGGGGAGAAAGAGGAAAAAUAAAAUAAUAGCCCAACCCACUAAACAAAUGUCAAAAUUUAUUUUUUUUCUUUUUAUGAUGAGAAAUAUUUAUGCUCCUUCCCAUGAAAAGCACACAUUUGCUGUGAAAAUAUUGCAUGGAAAUUUCAUACCAAAUUUUUAACAUCUUUCUUUUUUUUGCCAGACAGUUUCAAUGGACGUCUACUAUAGGCUGAAUAAUAGUUGUACUCAUCUCCAAGCUGCCUCUGGAGAGAUAUUUGCAUUCAUUGUAUGAAAAAGGCCCUGAUGCAGACCCCUCAGAAUGUAUACAAGAUAACAAACCCAUCUCUGGACCGGUACUACCUUGAACUUUGACCACAAAACUCAUUGAGCCUCAGUGUAUACAAGAUGCUGCUGCCAUUAUCCUCUCUCUCAUCCUUAUGCUCAAACACCUCCAAAACCAUUCUUUACCAGUUCUCUUUCCCCUCUCCAGUCCAUUUGACACAUUUUGCCCUUCCCAUGACAACCCAUGUGCCACCCACUUGUGUCUUCACUCAGCUUUCUAGGAGCAGCUUUGCUGAAGCCUCUUGAGCAGCCUUUUGCCUCUUCCAAAAGGCUCCUCUGACCAAAGACGAUUUCCUGAUCCCUUCUGCAAAGCUGUUCCUGCCAUUCUACCAGUCUCUCCUUCGAUGAGAUGUUUGCCUUUCCAAGGUCUCCUCUCAGACUCCUGAGAGCAUUUCUCUGCUCCUCCAAACACACUGACAUUACUGAAUAGAAA